CCCUUCGGGGGUGUAUAAAGUGGCGUAAGGGCGAGGAAUACGUUUCUACGUACCCCGAGGUCGAGGAUAGCCCAGGGAAACUUGGAGUAAUACUCGAUGUGGUCCUUCGGGAUCAAAGGCUUGCUGCCUUGGGAGCGGGGAACGUCCUAUCAGGUUGUUGGUGAGGUAACGGCUCACCAAGCCGAAGACGGGUAGCGGGUGUGAGAGCACGACCCGCCGCAUCGGGACUGAGACACUGCCCGGACUCCUACGGGAGGCUGCAGCAACGAAUCUUCCGCAAUGCGCGAAAGCGUGACGGAGCAAUGCCGCGUGCAGGAUGAAGCCCUUCGGGGUGUAAACUGCUGUCAGGGUUUAGCAACACAAUGAGCAGACCCAAAGGAAGGGCCGGCUAACUUCGUGCCAGCAGCCGCGGUAAUACGAAGGGCCCGAGCGUUGCGCGGAAUCACUGGGCUUAAAGCGUACGUAGGCGGACAAGCAGGUACUUUGUGAAAUCCCUCGGCUCAACCGAGGAAUUGCUUGGUAAACCGUUUGUCUUGAGGCAAGUAGGGGCUGUCGGAACGAUAGGUGGAGCGGUGAAAUGCGUUGAUAUCUAUCGGAACGCCAAAGGCGAAGGCAGACAGCUGGGCUUGUUCUGACGCUCAGGUACGAAAGCGUGGGGAGCGAACGGGAUUAGAUACCCCGGUAGUCCACGCCGUAAACGAUGUGCACUAGAUCGAGGGGACUCUGACGUCAUUCUCGGUCGAAGCAAAAGUGUUAGGUG
This 760-nucleotide ribosomal RNA is filed under the name uncultured bacterium. Its description in RNAcentral is "bacterial SSU rRNA". It matches the Rfam family "Bacterial small subunit ribosomal RNA", at positions 76 to 866 of the family's 1533-position model. The record is from RNAcentral.